GGGGAAUAUUGCGCAAUGGGGGGAACCCUGACGCAGCCAUGCCGCGUGAAUGAAGAAGGCCUUCAGGUUGUAAAGUUCUUUCGGUAUUGAGGAAGGUUGAUGUGUUAAUAGCACAUCAAAUUGACGUUAAAUACAGAAGAAGCACCGGCUAACUCCGUGCCAGCAGCCGCGGUAAUACGGAGGGUGCGAGCGUUAAUCGGAAUAACUGGGCGUAAAGGGCACGCAGGCGGUUAUUUAAGUGAGGUGUGAAAGCCCUGGGCUUAACCUAGGAAUUGCAUUUCAGACUGGGUAACUAGAGUACUUUAGGGAGGGGUAGAAUUCCACGUGUAGCGGUGAAAUGCGUAGAGAUGUGGAGGAAUACCGAAGGCGAAGGCAGCCCCUUGGGAAUGUACUGACGCUCAUGUGCGAAAGCGUGGGGAGCAAACAGGAUUAGAUACCCUGGUAGUCCACGCUGUAAACGCUGUCGAUUUGGGGGUUGGGGUUUAACUCUGGCGCCCGUAGCUAACGUGAUAAAUCGACCGCCUGGGGAGUACAGCCGCAAGGUUA
Molecule: ribosomal RNA, 546 nt
Filed under: uncultured bacterium
Lineage: Bacteria
Description: bacterial SSU rRNA
Rfam family: Bacterial small subunit ribosomal RNA
Source: RNAcentral